GACGAACGCUGGCGGCGUGCUUAACACAUGCAAGUCGAACGGAAAGGCCCUGCUUGUGUGGGGUGCUCGAGUGGCGAACGGGUGAGUAACACGUGAGUAACCUGCCCUUGACUUUGGGAUAACUUCGGGAAACUGGGGCUAAUACCGGAUAGGAGCUCCUGCUGCAUGGUGGGGGUUGGAAAGUUUCGGCGGUUGGGGAUGGACUCGCGGCUUAUCAGCUUGUUGGUGGGGUAGUGGCUUACCAAGGCUUUGACGGGUAGCCGGCCUGAGAGGGUGACCGGCCACAUUGGGACUGAGAUACGGCCCAGACUCCUACGGGAGGCAGCAGUGGGGAAUAUUGCACAAUGGGCGGAAGCCUGAUGCAGCAACGCCGCGUGCGGGAUGACGGCCUUCGGGUUGUAAACCGCUUUCGCCUGUGACGAAGCGUGAGUGACGGUAAUGGGUAAAGAAGCACCGGCUAACUACGUG
This 468-nucleotide ribosomal RNA is filed under the name uncultured bacterium. RNAcentral's name for it is "partial 16S ribosomal RNA". It matches the Rfam family "Bacterial small subunit ribosomal RNA", at positions 28 to 507 of the family's 1533-position model. The record is from RNAcentral.